RNAcentral lists this ribosomal RNA (862 nucleotides) under uncultured bacterium. RNAcentral describes it as "bacterial SSU rRNA". It matches the Rfam family "Bacterial small subunit ribosomal RNA", at positions 8 to 853 of the family's 1533-position model. The record is from RNAcentral.
AGAGUUUGAUCAUGGCUCAGGACGAACGCUGGCGGCGUGCCUAAUACAUGCAAGUUGAGCGCUGAAGGUUGGUACCUGUACCAACUGGAUGAGCAGCGAACGGGUGAGUAACGCGUGGGGAAUCUGCCUUUGAGCGGGGGACAACAUUUGGAAACGAAUGCUAAUACCGCAUAAAAACUUUAAACACAAGUUUUAAGUUUGAAAGAUGCAAUUGCAUCACUCAAAGAUGAUCCCGCGUUGUAUUAGCUAGUUGGUGAGGUAAAGGCUCACCAAGGCGAUGAUACAUAGCCGACCUGAGGGGGUGAUCGGCCACAUUGGGACUGAGACACGGCCCAAACUCCUACGGGAGGCAGCAGUAGGGAAUCUUCGGCAAUGGACGAAAGUCUGACCGAGCAACGCCGCGUGAGUGAAGAAGGUUUUCGGAUCGUAAAACUCUGUUGGUAGAGAAGAACGUUGGUGAGAGUGGAAAGCUCAUCAAGUGACGGUAACUACCCAGAAAGGGACGGCUAACUACGUGCCAGCAGCCGCGGUAAUACGUAGGUCCCGAGCGUUGUCCGGAUUUAUUGGGCGUAAAGCGAGCGCAGGUGGUUUAUUAAGUCUGGUGUAAAAGGCAGUGGCUCAACCAUUGUAUGCAUUGGAAACUGGUAGACUUGAGUGCAGGAGAGGAGAGUGGAAUUCCAUGUGUAGCGGUGAAAUGCGUAGAUAUAUGGAGGAACACCGGUGGCGAAAGCGGCUCUCUGGCCUGUAACUGACACUGAGGCUCGAAAGCGUGGGGAGCAAACAGGAUUAGAUACCCUGGUAGUCCACGCCGUAAACGAUGAGUGCUAGAUGUAGGGAGCUAUAAGUUCUCUGUAUCGCAGCU